GAUGGCAGUGAAUGUAUACUUAACGUCAGUGACCAGUGAUAACCUAAGUCAUCAUGACGUGCUGGCCUGGAUCAAUGAGUCUCUGCAGUUGAAUCUGACAAAGAUCAAACAGUUGUUCUCAAUAUCCAUAAACUGGAUAUUGUCAGUUUAUGGACAUGCUGUUCCCUGGCUCCAUUGACUUGAAGAAAGUAAAAUUCCAGGCUAAGCUAGAACAUGAGUGCAUCCAGAACUUCAAAAUACUACAAGCAGGUUUUAAGAAGCUGGGUGUUGACAAAAUAAUUCCUGUCGACAAAUCAGUAAAAGGAAAGUUUCAGGACAAUUUUGAAUUUGUUCAGUGGUUCAAGAAGUUUUUUGAUGCAAACUAUGAUGGAAAAAUCUAUGACCCUGUGGCUGCCAGACAAGGUCAAGAAAUUGCAGUGGCUCACUCCCUCCUUGCUCCAGCUCCGAAUAAACCCAAGUUCUAGCAAUGCAACUCCCCAGAUGCCCAUCUCAACACAGAGAACUGCUGUGGCUCCUAAGACUGGCCCUGGCGUGGUGUGAAAGAACCCUGGUGUGGGCAAUGGGAAUGACGAGGCAGCUGAGUUGAUGCGGCAGGUCAACGUAUUGAAAUUUACUGUUGAAAACUUGGAGAAAGAAGGAUUUCUACUUCGGAAAGCUACGGAACAUUGAAUUGAUUUGCCAGGAGAAUGAGGGGGAAAACAACCCUGUAUUGCAGAGGACUGUAGACAUUCUGUAUGCCACAGAUGAAGGCUUUGUGAUACCUGAUGAAGGCGGCACACAGGAGGAACAAAAAGAGUAU
Molecule: long non-coding RNA, 799 nt
Filed under: Homo sapiens (human)
Lineage: Eukaryota; Metazoa; Chordata; Mammalia; Primates; Hominidae
Description: non-protein coding lnc-ARAP2-10:1
Source: RNAcentral